UACGGAGGGUGCAAGUGUUAUCCGGAUUCAUUGGGUUUAAAGGGUGUGUAGGCGGGGCGAUAAGUCAGUGGUGAAAUCCUACAGCUUAACUGUGGAAGUGCCAUUGAUACUGCCGUCCUUGAGUGUAGUUGCAGCGGGCGGAAUGUGUCAUGUAGCGGUGAAAUGCUUAGAUAUGACACAGAACACCGAUUGCGAAGGCAGCUCGCUAAACUAUUACUGACGCUGAGACACGAAAGCGUGGGGAGCGAACAGGAUUAGAAACCCUGGUAGU
Molecule: ribosomal RNA, 271 nt
Filed under: uncultured bacterium
Lineage: Bacteria
Description: partial 16S ribosomal RNA
Rfam family: Bacterial small subunit ribosomal RNA
Source: RNAcentral